Molecule: long non-coding RNA, 545 nt
Organism: Triticum aestivum (bread wheat)
Lineage: Eukaryota; Viridiplantae; Streptophyta; Magnoliopsida; Poales; Poaceae
Exons: 2
Source: RefSeq, a predicted model, not a curated record
GACUUGCACAUCUUCCUAGUGUUAACAUAUUCUGCAGAAACGAUGACUAGAUCUAAAGGAAUGUGGGUGUUCUCCCUCCUAGUUUUACUUGCUUUCUCCUCUUAUUCAUAUCAUGCACGAGGAGAUGAAUUGACCGAGGAAAAAAAUCUUGUGAUAGAGUAUUGCAAGAAGCACAUCAUAAAAUAUUUCGGUGACCCAUUUCCAAAACUCAGCAGCAAAUGCUGCGGAAUAGUAUGUUUAUUAAUAGACCUCCAUGCCAUUUGCGAGAAAUUCACUAUCAAGGAUCUGCUUUGGAUUGACCUAGAAAAGUGGGCUACUGUUACACAUGUGUGCGGCAACUCAUUACUUCCAGGGACUAUAUGUGCAGGUUAUGUUGUUCCUCGUUAUGGUCACGAGCCACCUCCAACUGAACACUCAGUGUAAGGCAGGCUCAGCGAAUAAAGGUGGGGACACUAUGAUAUUGAUGCUUUGCCAGGGUAUCUAUGUUAUAAUGUAUCUUAGUUUUUAUGCUAUGAAUAAAAAAAGGACGACCUGCAUGUUCUCUA